UACGGGGGGAGCAAGCGUUGUUCGGAUUUACUGGGCGUAAAGGGCGCGUAGGCGGCGUGACAAGUCACUUGUGAAAUCUCCGGGCUUAACUCGGAACGGUCAAGUGAUACUGUCGUGCUAGAGUACAGAAGGGGCAACUGGAAUUCUCGGUGUAGCGGUGAAAUGCGUAGAUAUCGAGAGGAACACCUGCGGCGAAGGCGAGUCCCUGGACAACUUCUGACGCUGAGGCACGAAAGCUAGGGGAGCAAACAGG
Molecule: ribosomal RNA, 253 nt
Filed under: uncultured bacterium
Lineage: Bacteria
Description: partial 16S ribosomal RNA
Rfam family: Bacterial small subunit ribosomal RNA
Source: RNAcentral